AUUACAAUGAAUUUCAUACAUUACAUUAUUUAAUUAUUAGUAUAAUAUAUUAAUAUACCCGUAUUUACAAAUCUAUUUACUAAUCAUUGUUAAGUUGAAUUGAAUUAUUCAUUUGUAUCAAAACUUUACAAGAUGAUUUGCAUAACAAAUAGAUUCAAGGAAUUAAUAAUGUGAUCUAAUAAAAAGUUGGUAUAACUAUUAUGAAAAAUUAAUAUGUAUUGCAUCAGAGAGAUGGAUAAGAAUUUAAAAAUGAUGACCUUGAGUCAAAUAAAAAUUAAAAUUAAAAUUUCAUAAACUUGUACAAUAAAUAAAUAGCAAUCACAUUAAACAAGCAGUCAAGGAAAUCCUUAAUAAACACUUGGUAUCAUCUUGAAAGAAAAUGGUAAAAAGUAAUCAAACAGGCUUCAGAAUUCUAACCUUGCAGUUCCUACUAAAUUAGAAUUUAAAAAUACGAAGACAUUAGAGAAUAAACGAAAAUGAAUACAUUAGAUCUGUCGACUAAUAAAAUAAUUCAAAGUUAAAAACUUUUUUUGAGAUCUAUAAUGAAGGAAAUAUAUUUAAGCUGUUGGCGUAAUUUCUAGGCUUCGUAAUCCGAUAAAGUAAAAAGAAAGAGAAAACUAAAAAAAAAAGUGAAACAGCACAAUAAGUUAACGUAGUUUAAUGAGAGGAUGACACGUCAGACGUAUCUGCAACGAACACAGUAUCGACGUUGAUAAUAAAGAAGUAUCUAGCAACUACAUGCCGUCCAUGUGGACAAUCCAACAGAUCUGAUUUCAAAAUGGCGACUGAGGAAGACUUACGCGAUAUAAAAUAAUAAAAUAACGCAGAGAAAGAAAUUUUAAGGUGCUCCCAAUCAGAAAAAUGCGGAGUAACAAAUAAUCCAAUUUCUCAAAUAUAAAUAAUGGUACAUAAA
Molecule: long non-coding RNA, 913 nt
Filed under: Polistes fuscatus (common paper wasp)
Lineage: Eukaryota; Metazoa; Arthropoda; Insecta; Hymenoptera; Vespidae
Description: uncharacterized LOC122522160
Source: RNAcentral